GACGAACGCUGGCGGCGUGCUUAACACAUGCAAGUCGAACGGAAAGGCCUGCUUUCCCUUGUGGAUUGCGGGUACUCGAGUGGCGAACGGGUGAGUAACACGUGAGUGAUCUGCCCCCAACUUGGGUAUAAGCCUGGGAAACUGGGUCUAAUUCCCGAUAGGACUGCAGGGUGGUGCCUGUGGUGGAAAACGAUUUUCUAGUGGUUGGGGAUGAGCUCGCGGCCUAUCAGCUUGUUGGUGGGGUAAUGGCCUACCAAGGCGGCGACGGGUAGCCGGCCUGGGAGGGUGGAAGGCCAAAUUGGGAAUGGGAAACGGCCCAGACUCCUACGGGAGGCAGCAGUGGGGAAUAUUGCACAAUGGGCGGAAGCCUGAUGCAGCGACGCCGCGUGGGGGAUGACGGCCUUCGGGUUGUAAACUCCUUUCGACCGCGAGGAAGCCACCUGGUUGGAAGGGUGGUGACGGUAGUGGUAGAAGAAGCACCGGCUAACUACGUG
RNAcentral lists this ribosomal RNA (494 nucleotides) under uncultured bacterium. Its description in RNAcentral is "partial 16S ribosomal RNA". It matches the Rfam family "Bacterial small subunit ribosomal RNA", at positions 28 to 507 of the family's 1533-position model. The record is from RNAcentral.